AUGGGUCGUACCAAUGUCAAUCCUAUUUGGGGGGAGAUUUGGAAAUUAUCGUGUCCGGCAAAGGUAAAAAUAUUUAUCUGGCGAACGUUGCAUGGAACUCUACCAUGUCGUGUUACACUUGCCAAUAGACAUAUGAAAGUUUCGCCCCUUUGUCCAUCAUGCUCAAAUGGGCAAGAAGAUACAAAACACAUCUUGUUUUUGUCUGAGAAGGCAAAAGAGGUUUGGGGUAAGCUGGGGAUGUACGAGGUAAUUAAGAAAGCUUGUGUUAUUGAUCAUGCGGGUGAGGCGGUUCUUGAACUCUUACUUCUUAUGCCACACCAAGAACUAUCUAUAUUAGGAUGCCAGAAUGCAAGUGAAUUAAUCGUGAUAACCGCUUGGUAUUUAUGGUGGGAGAGA
RNAcentral lists this ribosomal RNA (396 nucleotides) under Triticum aestivum (bread wheat). RNAcentral describes it as "partial small subunit ribosomal RNA". Lineage: Eukaryota; Viridiplantae; Streptophyta; Magnoliopsida; Poales; Poaceae. The record is from RNAcentral.